RNAcentral lists this ribosomal RNA (468 nucleotides) under uncultured bacterium. RNAcentral's name for it is "partial 16S ribosomal RNA". It matches the Rfam family "Bacterial small subunit ribosomal RNA", at positions 28 to 507 of the family's 1533-position model. The record is from RNAcentral.
GACGAACGCUGGCGGCGUGCCUAACACAUGCAAGUCGAACGGACAGGCCAUGCUUUUGUGCGGUGCACGAGUGGCGAACGGGUGAGUAACACGUGAGUAUCCUGCCCUUGUCUUUGGGAUAACUUUUGGAAACUGGGGCUAUUACCGGAUAGGAGCUCCUGAUGCAUGGUGGGGGUUGGAAAGUUUCGGCGGUUGGGGCUCGAUUAGCGGGUUAUGAGCUUGUUGGUGUGGUAGGUGCAUACCAAGGCUUUGACGGGUAGCCGGCCUGGGAGGGUGACCGGCGUCAUUGGGACUGAGGUACGGACCAGACGCGUACGGGAGGCAGCGGUGGAGAAUAUUGCGGAGUGGGCCGAAGUCUGAGACAACGGCGUCGGGUGCGUAAUGACCGCCUUCGGGUUGUAAACCGCUGUCGCCUGAGACGUGGCGUGAGUGACGGUAAUGGGUAAGAAAGCACCGGCUAACUACGUG